GGAUCAUCCCUACUGCUACCUUUUCCACACCUACUGCUGCCUCCUUAGCAGAAUCUCCCAUGUGAGUUUCAAAGCCUCUCCUCCCUCCCACAGAUCUAGUCUGACUCCCUCACACAUCUCAACUCCCAGGCAGAACUAGGCAGAUGAGGCCUGAAACCGUUGCCCUGGAAAUCAUAAAAGAAUCCUAAAUUCAUGGAAGUUAAGGUCUGGAGGGGCUGUAAAUUCACUUAAUGCAAAAAAAUCCUCUUACUUCAGACAUGUCAUCACCGGUGGAAGCUCCCUGAGAGCAGGCUCUUCAGAUGUCAUCUUCAUACUAUACAUGCAGGUCCUUAGCACAGUGCCUGCCCCAGAGAUGGUGCUCAAUAUGUAUGUGUUAAAUAGAUGUGGAAUGAAUACCUCAGUUGAGUGUGUUCUAUGUCCUGGGAACUAUCACAGAGAAGAGAGAUGAAAAUAGGAAUAAAACAUGCUCUCUGCCUCAAGAAACGUUGCAAACUCAAAUGCCUUACCAAGGCCAUGAGGAUGCUCUACAAGUGAAGCAGGCGGAGAAGUAAACCAGAGCAUGGUGAGCAGUGGGAGAUGCCUAAUGAAGAUGGAAGGGACAGAUGGCACCCAGAAGAACCUGAGAGCAGCCAGUGUUAACUUGGGAAUGGAUGGAUGGGUGCUGUUUGAAAACAGCGGGAGAGGGAGCAGUAAAGAGCAAAGGUGCUGCGAUUAGAUGGCAGCUCUGUUUUGAACGGCUCAUUCAAGCGUGACAAGAUGCUAUGGUACAGGUUAAUUCCAGAAGAAAUUCAAUUGAAAUAUGAAGACUGUCAGAGAAAAGACGGAAAAACCCAGAGAAGCCAACUGAGACGGGUAUCAGUGAUGCUCAUGAG
Molecule: long non-coding RNA, 872 nt
Filed under: Equus caballus (horse)
Lineage: Eukaryota; Metazoa; Chordata; Mammalia; Perissodactyla; Equidae
Description: lncRNA (ENSECAG00000050232.1)
Source: RNAcentral